RNAcentral lists this ribosomal RNA (319 nucleotides) under uncultured eukaryote. RNAcentral describes it as "partial 18S ribosomal RNA". It matches the Rfam family "Eukaryotic small subunit ribosomal RNA", at positions 1470 to 1796 of the family's 1831-position model. The record is from RNAcentral.
CCCUUAGAUGUUCUGGGCAGCACGCGCGCUACAAUGGUCUUCGCAAACGGAUGCAUUCUCGAAGGAGAAUGCCAAUCUUGGAAUCUAUGCCUUGGUCGGGACAGUUGCUUGCAAUUUUUCGACUCGAACCAGGAAUUCCUUGUAAUCGUGAUUCAUCACAUCACGAUGAAUACGUCCCUGCCCUUUGUACACACCGCCCGUCGCUCCUACCGAUCGAGGAGUUAGGUGAAUUGUUUUGAUCGAUAAGAUUUGACUAUGGUCAACUCUCGUUGUGAAAUUCUGUGAAUCUGACUGUUUAGAGGAAGGAAAAGUCGUAACA